RNAcentral lists this long non-coding RNA (785 nucleotides) under Androctonus crassicauda. The record is from RNAcentral. Lineage: Eukaryota; Metazoa; Arthropoda; Arachnida; Scorpiones; Buthidae.
UGAAUAUAUAAUCUACCUAUAAGCAAGAGAUAUGAUAUAACUGGCAUAAUAUAAUGCAUAUGUAAAAUUUAUAUCAUAUGAAAGUUAUUACAAAAUACAAUACCUUUUGCCAUCAAAUGUUAACUAUUCCAUUAUGUUAACAACUUUUAUUGCAUCAAUACUGUAAGCAACUGACAAGGGUUUCCUUUAAAAACCUUUGUCAGUUUUAUACUUAGUGAGUGGUCUUUUCUUUAUACAAGAUACAAAAAUAAAUUCCUAAUUAAACUUAAAUAAAAAAAAUUUAGGUACUACAUCAGAUUUCUGUGAUGAAAUUUUAGUAAUGUUCUAUGUAUGAAUAAAAACAAAUAUUUUAUAGGCUACUUUUUAUAAUUUUGGCAUUAUAAAAAUUCAAAGAAUUCCUUAGAUGGAUGUUAGCACAUGUAAACAGAUAACAAAGGCAUAUUGAUAACCCGUGAUUUGGACUGUAUAAAUGCAGACUUCUUUCUGAAGUCUGCAUUUAUUGCCGUCAUAAUUUUAAGUGGUACCAAAAUGUAGCCUUGUUGAAAAGCAAAUACAGUUAGAGAUUAAAGAACAAAUGUUAUUGUUUAAUCUAUAUUUCAGCCUUGUGUUUAACCUAUAUACCCCUCUAAUAAAGGUUUCCAUAAAUCAGCAAUUGUUGUUAGACUACUUCAUUUCAUUAUUGCAAUUUUUAAAAUUUUUUGAAAAUUUUUAUUUAAUUUUGUUUAUAUGUGUUAAAAAACGACUCUGGGGAAUAAAAAUAAUAGUGUACAAAUGUGAAAACGGAU